Molecule: small RNA, 156 nt
Filed under: Xanthomonas campestris pv. campestris
Lineage: Bacteria; Pseudomonadati; Pseudomonadota; Gammaproteobacteria; Lysobacterales; Lysobacteraceae
Description: ncRNA of unknown function
Source: RNAcentral
GCGGCUUAGCAGUGCACCAAACACCGCGAUGCAAUGCAAUUAGCUACCUACCUGCGGGAUCUAAGCAGCUUUCGGAAUAGCACUGCAUCUAGCGAAUCUGCACCAUACCAACUAGCCAAGCAGCGUCAAUUUGCGCUACUCAACCAUCUAGACCGC